Alligator sinensis (Chinese alligator) is the source of this 1212-nucleotide long non-coding RNA. RefSeq lists it as uncharacterized. The record is from RefSeq and is a predicted model, not a curated record. Lineage: Eukaryota; Metazoa; Chordata; Crocodylia; Alligatoridae. The transcript has 3 exons.
CGGCCGAGGAAGGAAUCUAGCUGAGCCACUCAGAAUUUCUCUUUGGGGCUCCCAGGUAAUAUUCACUGACACAGCAGUUUCGUCACUUUGAAGAACCGUUGCCCACCAAUUCUGCUGAUGCUAAGUGGGAGGCAGACCAAUGGCCCAACCCUCAUCCUGCUCUUUUCUUCUCCAUUUUGGAUACCAAGAGCUUACAGAGGACUGCUGGAAGUAAGAGGGGAGAGAAACCAUUUAUAUGGAGCCAGAGCUUCUAUGGAAUAAAGGGCUUGGACCCACUCCAGCUGCUUUUGGAGUCACAAGAUUGAAUCCUUGGCUGCUGUUCUGGUUGCUUUCGGAUACCGUAGUUGUGCAAGACGGCCAAGAAAGGCAAGUGAAGACAGCUUCUGACAUGGCAGAAGCUUUGGAUCAUGCCAAUGGAAGGCUCCAUUCCACUUUCCAGAUGCUAGAUUACAUCUAAAGGGCACCUCAGAAGGAAACUUCUCCUGUCCGACUGCCUCAAGUGUAAACUGUGUGUAUCCAAGGAUCGAGCACAAAGAAUUUUGUCAACAUUUUGUACAGAAGCAAGACAGAUCCCUCCUUUUCAGAUAAGCCUGUGCAUCCUGCAUGAAAUAAGGAUUUUCACUGCUUUGGAUCUACAUAAAUAUAACGUUGUGUGUGAUGCACAUUUGUGACUAAUCAGUUUUAAACAGCAUGCCCUGUAUGCUCAGAUGUCUCAGCAGUGGUGGUUCUCAGCAUGAACUAUGCUGCAGGCUGGGUAAUUGAACAUGUAGAUUUCUUGGAAGUGCUUUCAUUAUUAAUUAUAAUUGACAUCCAUGUACAUUUUUAUUUUAAAUUGAUCCAAGACAUUUGGGAGAACUUCAAUAAAACGUGUGAUGUGUUUAAAAAAAAGAAAAGUUACUGUCAAGCCAUAGAGACAUGAAUACAACAAGUCUUAUUUCUGCCUGUGUUACCAAUGACACUGCAGAAUUCUCUGCACGGAUCUAGAGUUACAAUGUGAUGUGAGUUACUCUAUAUCUGUCAUUUCUUCUGCAAAAUUAUCUUUAUCAUUAGCAAUAAGAUACUCCUCACCCCUUCCUGACAUCCACUGAAUUUUUCAGGAUCUAUGGCCCCAAUCCUGCCAAUAUUAAAGCAAAUUUGUAGUUUUGGGCAUAUAAAGUUGGCUGCUGUGCUAAAAGAUUGGUGCUGGAAGGUAUUAUUCUCUUUUUUAUUUAU